GGUGUGCAGAGCGGCUUUUGUGCUCUUGCGAGGGUCGAAGCAGCAGCUGGCGGACAAAGAGGAUGGCAAUAAGAACACUCGGGACAACUGUAAAUAACAAGCACUGUUGAAAAGGGAAGAAAAUCAAGCCAGAAAUCAAAUAUUUUCCAUUUCCUUCAGAAAACUACACAAUUCUCCUCUUCCAACAGCUGUUAGACAAAAGAGAGAAAAUAAAGAAAGAAUAAGCAAAUUAUACAGAACUGAAGGAUACAUUACAUGAAAAGUGAAGGGAGAUUAUUUAUCCUUCAGCAAAAGAGGGAAAUAUCUGGAGGUCACUGGGGAGGAAAAGGUCAAUAGUAAAGUCACGUAGAGCAGACAGUAAUUCAAGCCUCUCCCUGUAAGGAAGAAAACGGCUUGAAUGAAAGCCACUAAACAAAGCAUUGUCAUAUUUUAUCCCUUCAAGAAUAUCAUCUGUGGAAAAGCUCCAUAGAUUUGUCUAUUGUGGGACAAGCACAGAUUGCAAAUCACAGCUGAUUAUGCACAAGAGGAGCCAGAGAGGAGAAAAACCAUACAAAUUACCUGAUUGUGGCAAAAGCUUUGGUCACAACAGCUCCCUUGUGAUUCAUGGAAGCAUCCAGACACAAGAGGGAAGCUAGUAAAUGCUUUAGUGAGCAUGGCAACAUGAUGCUACAUCAGAUAACUCACAGGGGGAAGAAAAGGUAUGACUGUGCAGAUUGUGUGAAAGUUUCAUUAGAAAUUCCCAGGUCAUGAGACACUAAAGGACGGCACACAGGAAUAAAAACCAUUUGAACAUCCUUUCUGUGGGAAAAGUUUCAGUGAGAAUUCCAUCCUGGUGAAGCACCAGAGAACUCACACAGAAGAGAAAACCUUUGAAUGUCCUGAUUAUGGGAAAGUCACAAUUCCAGGUUGGUGAUACACCAGAAGACUCACAUAGGAGAGAAAUGUUUUGAAUGUCCUGAUUGUUGGAAAACUUUCAGUUAUAAUUCCAACUUGGUGAUAAAUCAGAGGAAUCAUAAAGGAGAAAAACCUGUUCAAUAUACUGACUGUGGGAGAAGUUCCAGUUCGUAAUUCCCACCUGCCAAUACAUCAGAGGAUUCACUCCAUGGAGAAAUCUUAUGAAUGUCGAGAUUGUGGGAAAGCUUUCAUUAGAAAUUCGCAUCUCCUGAGACACAAGACCACGCACACAGGAGAGAAACCCUUUGAAUGUCCUAUCUGUGGGAAACGUUACAGUCAGAAUUCCUACCUGGUGAUACACCAGAGGACUCACACAGGAGAGAAACCCUUUGAAUGUCCUGACUGUGGGAAACGUUACCGUCAGAAUUCCCACCUGGUGAUACACCAGAGGACUCACACAAGAGAAAAACCCUUUGAAUGUCCUGACUGUGGGAAACGUUACAGUCAGAAUUCCCACCUGGUGAUACACCAGAGGAUUCACAGAGGAGAGAAACCCUUCGAAUGUCCUGAUUGUGGGAAAGGUUUUAGAGAUAAUUCCAGGCUGGUGAGACAUCAGAGGAGUCACACAGGAGAGAAAACUUUUGAAUGUCCUAUCUGUGGAAAACAUUUUAGUAAUAAUUCCAACCUGGUGAGACACCAGAGAUCUCACACAGGAGAGAAACCUUUUGAAUGUCCUGAUUGUAGAAAAGGUUUUAGAGAUAAUUCUCACCUGCUCAUACACCAGAGGACUCACGCAGGAGAGAAACCCUUUAAAAUUCCUGAUUGUGGGAAAGGUUUUAGAAAUAAUUCCAGCCUGGUGAGACAUCAGAGGACUCACACAGGAGAGAAACCCUUUAAAUGUCCUGAUUGUGGGAAAGGUUUUAGAGAUAAUUCCCACCUGGUGAGACAUCAGAGGACUCACACAGGAGAGAAACCCUUUGAAUGUCCUGAUUGUGGGAAAUGUUACUGUCAGAAUUCUUACCUGGUGACACAUCAGAGGACUCACACAGGAGAAAAGCCCUUUGAAUGUCCUAUCUGUGGGAAAGGUUUUAGUGAUAAUUCCAGCCUGGUGAAACACCAGAGAACGCACAUAGAAGAGAAGCCCUUUGAAUGUCCCCUCUGUGGGAAAGGUUUUAGUGAUCAUUCCCACCUGGUGACACACCAGAGGACUCACACAGGAGAGAAGCCCUUUGAAUGUCCUAUCUGUGGGAAAGGUUUUAGUGAUAAUUCUAGUCUGGUGAGACACCAGAGGACUCACACAGGAGAGAAGCCCUUUGAAUGUCCUAUCUGUGGGAAAAGCUUUAGUGUUAAUUCCAGCCUGGUGAGACACCAGAGGACUCACACAGGAGAGAAGCCCUUUGAAUGUCCUGAUUGUGGGAAAGGUUUUAGAGAUAAUUCCCACCUGGUAAGACAUCAGAGGACUCACACAGGAGAGAAACCCUUUGAAUGUUCUGGCUGUGGGAAACGUUACUAUCAGAAUUCCCAACUGGUUACACACCAGAGGACUCACACAGGAGAGAAGCCCUUUGAAUGUCCUAUCUGUGGGAAAGGUUUUAGUCAUAAUUCCAGCCUGGUGAAACACCAGAGGACUCACACAGGAGAGAAACCCUUUGAAUGUCUUGACUUGGGAAAUGUUACAGUGAGAAUUCCCACUUGGUGAGACACCAGAGGACUCACAGACAAGAGAAAUCCUUGAAUGUCCUAUCUGUAGGAAAAGUUUCAGUCAGAGUUCCUACCUAAUGAUACACCAGAGAUUUUACACUGUGGAGAAAUGUUUGAAAUAUUCAGUCUGUGGACAUUACUUCAAGCAUAAAUCAUCCCUUAUUGCACACAAGAUAAUCCAUAUGAGGAAUAGUAGAUGAGUUUACAGAAUGCUUGAAUUUCAUUUGUGAUCUCCCAUUGAAAGUAUAGGUGAGAAAUUGAUUGAAUUUUGGUUUGAUUCAUUUUAUUCAAACGUUUCUCAGGAUUAAAUAUGUAGGUGGAGGGAAAAGGAAAAUGGAAAUGGUUAAUUUUCAGUGGGCCCUGGAUUCAUCCCUGUUGUGAACUGUGGUAAUGGCGCAAGGCACCACACGGCGUCCUGCUGCAAGCAUAACAUAUACAGAUAUGACUCACAUUCUUCUCUGCCUUCUCAGGGGGGAAGCAAGAGUGAAAGAAAAUGCAGUCUAGUUAUUUGGUCAAAACAAAAAUAUCUUCCAGAAUUUAAAAGUGUUUUAAUCAGCUGAGAAACAGUUUGGACACAGCUUGCAUGGGCUGCGCGACAAGCUAUGCUGUGUCUGGCUGUGAGAGGCUGCAGAAGAAGUCAGGCGGUGGUGCAACAGGUGUCAGGGUUUGGGUGGCCUCCCUGCGAUGGUCCUAAGGUAAGCGGGUAAGACAUGCCCUGAAACUAAGUCCUGGUGCUUAUUAUGGGCCCAAAAGAAAAUAAAACUGGGUCUUAUUUUCGGGGAAACACGCGAUAUGUACAUAUGUAUAAUCUGUCCUCAGCACUUCCAAGUAUAUUUGAUUAUUACUCUUUGCAAUUCUAUGAACUCAUGAUUGACUCAAGUCAACAAAUAAAUUUCAUAACUGAAUAGGUUUUUGAGAUGUAUAUUGAAAAUGUAAAUAAUUAAUGUAAGAGGUUAAGUUAGCCUUUUGGCAGCUUUGCCUUUUAUUCUAAUGUAUGCCUUUGGAUCUGUUUUUCCAGAAAUAUUGUGCAGCCAUUUUAUAAACCGUAAUUAAACUAACCCUUUUAUGUGAAUCUUACACGCAAAAGAAUGCCAAAGAGAGCACUGUGGAGAACUCAAUCACAAGCAGCAUUAAAAGGCAAAGAAAACCAAGGCAGCAAUCAAAAUCUUGUUAGUUCCUCCGGAAAUCCCCAGAAUUCUUCUUCUUCCCCAGCAGCUUACAGACAAGGAGGACAAAACCAGGAAAAGAGUUUUGAGCUGGACAAAAAAAGUAGAGUAUCUGGAAGAAACGUAUCAAAAUAUCAAGGGGCAUAAUUUCCUAGUUCAGAAAAAGAGGGAAAUAGCUGGAAGUCAGCGGGAAGGAUAUGAUCACUUGGACAGCCAGAUAAGGCAGACCGUAAUGGAGGCCUUGCCCUUUGAGGAAGGAAGCUGUAACUUGAAUCAAUGCUCCAUCCAAGAAGGGAUUGAGAGUAUUUUUGAUGUCCACAUAAAACAGGAGUCCUGAAACUUUUUAAACGGGGCCAAUUCACAGUCCCUCAGACUGUUGGGGGCUGGACCAGCUGGGUGUGCAUGGCUUCUUAUCAUAUGACUGGGUGGGCAUGGACAAUUUAGAGUCCAUUAAAUAGAAUUAAAUAGAAUAGAAUAGAAUAGAAUUUUUAUUGGCCAAGUGUGAUUGGACACACAAGGAAUUUGUCUUGGUGCAUAUGCUCUCAGUGUACAUAAAAGAAAAGAUAUGUUCAUCAAGGUACAACAUUUACAACACAAUUGAUGGUCAAUAUAUCAAUAUAAAUCAUAAGGAUUGCCAGCAACAAGUUAUAGUCAUACAGUCAUAAAUGGAAAGAGAUUGGUGAUGGGAACUAUGAGAAGAUUAAUAGUAGUGCAGAUUCAGUAAAUAGUUUGACAGUGUUGAUGGAAUUAUUUGUU
Molecule: RNA transcript, 4517 nt
Organism: Ahaetulla prasina
Lineage: Eukaryota; Metazoa; Chordata; Lepidosauria; Squamata; Colubridae
Gene name: zinc finger protein 658B-like
Exons: 3
Source: RefSeq, a predicted model, not a curated record